This 809-nucleotide non-coding RNA is filed under the name Pongo abelii (Sumatran orangutan). The record is from RNAcentral. Lineage: Eukaryota; Metazoa; Chordata; Mammalia; Primates; Hominidae.
GGGAGCUUGGAUGUGGAAGCUCUUUGGAAACCAAGAAACACUCUGCAAAUGAAAAGGAUGCCAACUUCAUCUGUCUUUAAGAAUACAAUAUUAGUUUAAAAGACUGUUCAACUUAAAGCAGUCUUGUAGAGAUUGUCACCCAUGAUUGAUGCUGGCAUAAGAAUGUUUAUCACAGCAUGGCAUAUAUUGGAAGUUUAGUAAAUGAAGAUACAUCCAAUCUGACAUUCCAUUCACAACCACAAAGAGAUAAUGUAGAAACAUAUUUAGUAAUGUGAGAAAAUACUAAAUAUUAAGUGGAAAAAGGUGGAAGAGUAAACUGUUCCCGUUUCUCCAAAUUGACAGGAAGCAGAAGUUCUCCUUAGCUGAUUUUUCUUCUUGCCUUAUACUGGGUUCUUUAACACCAGAACAAAAAUAAAUAAAUAAAAGAAUCUUCCAGAAAUUCAUGAAGAGACUUCAGGUCAGGAAAGCCUGAACUUUCUCAUCUAACACCUGUUCAAGUCGGAGGAUGCUGAUUAAUUCAUGAUGGAAAGGUAUCAAUUUCACAGCCCAGACUUCUACAUUCUUGAAAUGCUGUUCUCAUGGGAGACAUUAAAUAAGCUUUGAAAUAACUUGCCAUGACACCCAGGAUGCAGCUGUAGGAACACCACUGGGUCCCUGGAUAUCAUGUAAGCCCUUAAGUAAAGGUGCCAUCAAAUGAUUUCUCAGAAAUUAUAAAGAAACAAAAGGACCAUAAACAAGAUAAGGUGGCACGAGGAAACACUAAAAGUACCUUUCAGAGCUGACUGGCAAAGAAACUCCUGAGGUGAUGG